UGGGGAAUUUUGGACAAUGGGGGCAACCCUGAUCCAGCAAUGCCGCGUGUGUGAAGAAGGCCUGCGGGUUGUAAAGCACUUUAGGUGGGGAGGAAAGCCAGUUGUUUAAUAGACGAUUGGGGUGACGUUACCCACAGAAUAAGCACCGGCUAACUCUGUGCCAGCAGCCGCGGUAAUACAGAGGGUGCAAGCGUUAAUCGGAAUUACUGGGCGUAAAGCGCACGUAGGCGGUUUUUUAAGUCAGAUGUGAAAGCCCCGGGCUCAACCUGGGAAUUGCAUUUGAAACUGGAAAACUAGAGUGUGUGAGAGGGGGGUAGAAUUCCAAGUGUAGCGGUGAAAUGCGUAGAGAUUUGGAGGAAUACCAGUGGCGAAGGCGGCCCCCUGGCACAACACUGACGCUCAGGUGCGAAAGCGUGGGGAGCAAACAGGAUUAGAUACCCCAGUAGUCCCUGAGCGGGCUGGCAAGGCGCAU
RNAcentral lists this ribosomal RNA (472 nucleotides) under uncultured bacterium. Its description in RNAcentral is "bacterial SSU rRNA". It matches the Rfam family "Bacterial small subunit ribosomal RNA", at positions 355 to 825 of the family's 1533-position model. The record is from RNAcentral.